This 548-nucleotide ribosomal RNA is filed under the name uncultured Glomus. RNAcentral describes it as "SSU rRNA". It matches the Rfam family "Eukaryotic small subunit ribosomal RNA", at positions 548 to 1098 of the family's 1831-position model. The record is from RNAcentral. Lineage: Eukaryota; Fungi; Glomeromycota; Glomeromycetes; Glomerales; Glomeraceae.
UUGGAGGGCAAGUCUGGUGCCAGCAGCCGCGGUAAUUCCAGCUCCAAUAGCGUAUAUUAAAGUUGUUGCAGUUAAAAAGCUCGUAGUUGAAUUUCGGGACCAAUAUGUCGGUCGUGCUUCGGUACGUACUUGCAUUAUUGGUUUCUCCCUUCUGACGAACCAUGAUGCCAUUAAUUUGGUGUCUUGGGGAAUCAGGACUGUUACUUUGAAAAAAUUAGAGUGUUUAAAGCAGGCUCACGCUUGAAUACAUUAGCAUGGAAUAAUGAAAUAGGACGUUUGAUUCUAUUUUGUUGGUUUCUAGGAUCGACGUAAUGAUUAAUAGGGAUAGUUGGGGGCAUUAGUAUUCAAUUGUCAGAGGUGAGAUUCUUGGAUUUAUUGAAGACUAACUACUGCGAAAGCAUUUGCCAAGGAUGUUUUCAUUAAUCAAGAACGAAAGUUAGGGGAUCGAAGACGAUCAGAUACCGUCGUAGUCUUAACCAUAAACUAUGCCGACUAGGGAUCGGAUGAUGUUAAUUUUUUAAUGACUCAUUCGGCGCCUUACGGGAAAC